Long non-coding RNA from Triticum dicoccoides, 3488 nucleotides. RefSeq lists it as uncharacterized. The record is from RefSeq and is a predicted model, not a curated record. The transcript has 4 exons. NCBI's taxonomy places the organism in Eukaryota, Viridiplantae, Streptophyta, Magnoliopsida, Poales, Poaceae.
UCCUCCCGCACUCGCGCCCCUCUAUCCUCUUCCUCCCCCACCUCGCGCCGCCACCCUUGCCUCCUCCCGUCCCGUCGGACGUCUUCCUUCCCUCCCGCAGGCCGUCCUCCACCUCUUGCAUCUCAUCCGCAUCGAACCCUAGAAACCGAUGAGGAGGCCGAGCCGCCAUCCGCCGCCGGCCGUCGACACCUCCUGUUCGACCACAUAGAGGGAGCACCAGACUAUCGUCCUUGCGUUCGUGCUCCUCCAGGAAGAAGACGACCCAAGGAGACGAAUGAGUUGGGCUCGGAUGUUGCUGGCCGCCGGUUGUCUGCAACAGGAAUGCUCCCCUGCCACGACUUUCUCACAGGUCCUUCCUUUCGUAUCUUCAAGUUGCCGAGUUGAAGUAUCACCCGGGUUUCUGUGACGAUCUUCUGAGGUGGAAAUGCUCUGUUUCUACAAACUGCAGGCGCAAUCUCGUAUUGUAUUGUUAGUGGUGAUUCAGGCAUAAUUUUUCUCUUUAUGCCGUGAUAUUUCUUUUUAAGUUAGACAUUACAAUCUUAGAAGCCUUCCAUGACAAAGAUAGCCCUUUGUAAAUUUUGCUUCUACAAGUAUACUUUUGAUGGCCAUGCCCCCUGAUUGUCAGUAUAUAUUUGGCUUAUGUCAGUAUACUCUACAUAAUAUGUCUGGAUGGGUGUUCUUAUAUGAGAUAUUUGUGGUAAGUAGUUAAAUCACUCCUACGGAGUGUAUAUCUAUUUUAACCUAGUUUGAGGAAUGACCAACCGGAUGGCUUCUGCAACUUUUGGUUCAAUUCUUGGUUAUUUCAUCCUCACCACAUGAUGUUUGUUGUUUAUUCUUCUUACCCGCAUCGUACAUCUGGUUAAUGUUGCUAUAUUAGCCAAUCUAUUUUGGCAUAUGCAGUGCAUCUCUACCUAUGUUUACGUGUCAUCCUUGCCUUACUAAGUUACCAUGGAAACACUCAGGUGUUGUUUUCUCCCAUGUAUAUAUGUAUAUGUAGAUGCCCUCUACUUUGGCACCAUCAUCUGGGAGGGGUUUGUACUAACGAUGGCCCUAUAAAGCACACCGACUUUGUUUUUCUUGAUGCACAAGUGCCUUUCUGGCCUUUCCUCUUUAUCCUCCUUGGUGAGUCUUACUUUUGUCUCUUUAACUGGGCCUUUAAACAUGUGGUUACAAUCGUAUUCGUAUGUUUUGGUGGUUCGGAAUAGUAGUAUCUAGCACCGUGAUAAUCCUGCAUACUGAUUAUCCCUUUUUUGAUAAUUGUCUUUAGCUUUGUAUAUCAAACGAUUCAACAUUUUCGUUUGUAUUCUAGGCAAUUUACUAAUUAUAAAAACAAAUCUUACAAUUGCAGUCUUACAAACAGUUCAUGAGGCUUCCUGCAAUAUUUCUUUUUUGCACGUAUCUAUGAAACUAUAGUUGUUCCGCUGUUUUCCCCAUGUUAGGCCAAGCGGACCAAUGGCAAUCUUAACCUCAUAGGUUAGUCUUAUUCCUUAAUUUAUUUCUUCAUUUUUCUGAUUUAGAUACUAUAAAUUAGUCAUGCAUUCUUAAAGAUUGAAAUGCUGGUCCAGGGAAAACAUCUGGUUAGUCGACAUGAACCUCAUGUUUGAUUGAGUUUGAAAUCUAAUGGAACAAAAACUAGUGAUGUAUAUAGUUGAAUUAAAGUAUGGAGAACCCCAUUCAGUUUGAGGCAAUAAAUAAGGUCCCAUAUUUGAUAAAUUUGCUUGAUUUCUCAUGUUACUUACUGUAGCUCUUAAAUAAGAUCUUGAGAUGUAAUUUUAGAAAAUAGUUGGUACUCACAUGUUUGCUUUCCCUGCUACCGUCUUGCUUUCCCUGCUACUCACUUUCUUUCUUAAUAGUGUAAUUGUCUUUGCUUCAUCUGUAUAGAUGCUAGCUAUUUUAUUAUGAGUUGCUGCUACAAGAGAACUAAUGGUUGAUUGCUAUAUUCACCCUUCCUCACUUUCAUCUAUAUAUGUCGUUGCUUUUUCAUUCUUGCUGAGUGGGUCAAUUACAUUUGAUGAACAAGCUGCAUAUUCCUUUUUAUACCAUUGUGCUCUAUUUAGUUUUGCUUCCAUCAACCAAUAACUGAUUGGGUGGCAUGCCAUGAAAAUGGCGAAGAAAAGCAGUGUGUAAAAUAUUAGAAAGAAAAGCAAAAAGGUCCAUGGAAAAUAUUAAACUUCUCCCUGUUUUAUUUAUAUCGGCAAGAACUUGGGCAUGAUUCCUUCUUCCCCUGAAUACUAAGCUUAUUUAUUUUCUUGGUGUUAGAUUACUAAUGUGGAGAAAUAUAAUUCUUAUUGAUGGUUGCUCGAUGGCGUUGAGCAUCAUGUAAGGUCAUUAGAAGUCAUAGAUGGAUCAACAUAUUCUUCCGCUGCUAAUUAGCAUGUUUGGUCUAUUUUAUUUCAAACAUAUAUAUUAUUCACCAAGGCACCUGCCUACUUUCAUAAUGAUGUUAUAACAUUAGGCGUUAGGUCAUUAGAAGUCAUAGAUGAAUCAACAUAUUCUUCCGCUGCUAAUUAGCAUGUUUGGUCCAUUUAUUUCAAACAUAUCUAUGACUCACCAAGGCUCCUUCCUACUUUCAUGAUGAUGUUAUCCCAUAGUUACAUUGGUGUCUGAAAGUGAGCCUUCUCUUAACUCACUUUAUCUGCAGUAAAUGAAACCUAGAGGUGGAGGGGUUUGGAUGAUCUGUAGUCAAAGGAUACCAUCGAACAAGUGGAUGCGCAAUGGCGCAAGGAGGGUCUCCCCGGAGCAGAGGUAGAGGAUGUUACCAGUUGCAUCUCUGACCUAAAGCCCACCUUGGCAUGGAUGUGACCAGCGUUGAUCCCCAACAUUGGCAAGCACUGUAAGCUUUUUCGUCAGGACUGUACUCAUUCAGGGGAAAGUUUAAUUAGGACUUCGAAACCUCUUUUGUAUCCUUAGACCCAGGUAGAUUGUAGACAAAAAGAGAAAUUUAAAUAAAUUGCCCCUUGCACACUAAUUCUUAGAUCCAGGUUGAUUGUUAUCUCUUCAUUAUAUCAUUAUUACUCGCUCCUUCCUACUUAUUUUUCAGUGAAGAGUUAAAUCUGUCAUGUUCUUGCACUAUUUAUUUUUAUUUUAGCACCAAAGAUAUUGUAUGGAGUUGCUAUUCCUCUAAAGCUUUGUUUUUUCAUCAUAUGAAUCUAUCCAUAUGAUGCGGAGUCCGGCUGCUCUGAGUUUGAUGAGUUCCCUUGUUUCUGCCCAUCUGAUGAUACCGAUGGCAACUGCGGUGCAAGCCGCUUUGAUGAAGAUUUCCUCUUCGACGAGAAUGACUGAACUUCAGGCACAAGAAGGGAACUGAUGCCCUUUUGGUUUAUUACCAAGCUUUGCUUAAGUGUCGUGCUUAGCUUUGGUGCCACUAUGAAAGUGUGCUGAAUUAGAUCUGCACCUGUCCAACCUUAGUGUAAAUUAUUUGUAAUCAGUACUCUCAACCAGUGUUCUAGAUGGAUGAUAGUAGGCAAUGUAUAUCUCCAUAAGACUAC